ACCUAAUAGAUACCCCGGUAGUCCACGCCCUAAACGAUGCGAACUGGAUGUUGGGUACAUUACGGUACUCAGUGUCGAAAGCUAAACGCGUUAAGUUCGCCGCCUGGGGAGUACGGUCGCAAGACUGAAACUCAAAGGAAUUGACGGGGGCCCGCACAAGCGGUGGAGUAUGUGGUUUAAUUCGAUGCAACGCGAAGAACCUUACCUGGCCUUGACAUCUGUCGAAUCCUGCAGAGAUGCGGGAGUGCCGCAAGGAACGACAAGACAGGUGCUGCAUGGCUGUCGUCAGCUCGUGUCGUGAGAUGUUGGGUUAAGUCCCGCAACGAGCGCAACCCUUGUCCCUAGUUGCCAGCACAUCAUGGUGGGAACUCUAGGGAGACUGCCGGUCGAA
Molecule: ribosomal RNA, 391 nt
Filed under: uncultured bacterium
Lineage: Bacteria
Description: bacterial SSU rRNA
Rfam family: Bacterial small subunit ribosomal RNA
Source: RNAcentral